UUGAACGCUGGCGGCAUGCUUUACACAUGCAAGUCGAACGGCAGCGGGGGCUUCGGCCUGCCGGCGAGUGGCGAACGGGUGAGUAAUGCAUCGGAACGUACCCAGUCGUGGGGGAUAACUACGCGAAAGCGUAGCUAAUACCGCAUACGUCCUGAGGGAGAAAGCGGGGGAUCUUCGGACCUCGCGCGAUUGGAGCGGCCGAUGUCGGAUUAGCUAGUAGGUGAGGUAAAGGCUCACCUAGGCGACGAUCCGUAGCGGGUCUGAGAGGAUGAUCCGCCACACUGGGACUGAGACACGGCCCAGACUCCUACGGGAGGCAGCAGUGGGGAAUUUUGGACAAUGGGCGCAAGCCUGAUCCAGCCAUGCCGCGUGAGUGAAGAAGGCCUUCGGGUUGUAAAGCUCUUUCGGCCGGGAAGAAAUCGUGCAGGUUAAUAACCUGUAUGGAUGACGGUACCGGAAGAAGAAGCACCGGCUAACUACGU
RNAcentral lists this ribosomal RNA (482 nucleotides) under uncultured bacterium. Its description in RNAcentral is "bacterial SSU rRNA". It matches the Rfam family "Bacterial small subunit ribosomal RNA", at positions 29 to 506 of the family's 1533-position model. The record is from RNAcentral.